CGCGUAGGCGGCAUGGCAAGUCAGGUGUGAAAGCCCCGGGCUUAACUCGGGAACUGCAUCUGAAACUGCUUUGCUUGAGUCCUGGAGGGGGUAGUGGAAUUCCCAGUGUAGCGGUGAAAUGCGUAGAUAUUGGGAGGAACACCGGUGGCGAAGGCGGCUACCUGGACAGUGACUGACGCUGAGGCGCGAAAGCUAGGGGAGCGAACGGGAUUAGAUACCCCGGUAGUCCUAGCUGUAAACGAUGGGCACUUGGUGUCGGGGGUAUUGAGUCCCUCGGUGCCGGAGUUAACACGUUAAGUGCCCCGCCUGGGGAGUACGGUCGCAAGACUGAA
Molecule: ribosomal RNA, 332 nt
Filed under: uncultured bacterium
Lineage: Bacteria
Description: bacterial SSU rRNA
Rfam family: Bacterial small subunit ribosomal RNA
Source: RNAcentral